GAUGAACGCUGGCGGCGUGCUUAACACAUGCAAGUCGAACGAAGCACUUUAUUUGAUUUCCUUCGGGACUGAUUAUUUUGUGACUGAGUGGCGGACGGGUGAGUAACGCGUGGGUAACCUGCCUUGUACAGGGGGAUAACAGUUGGAAACGGCUGCUAAUACCGCAUAAGCGCACAGCAUCGCAUGAUGCAGUGUGAAAAACUCCGGUGGUAUAAGAUGGACCCGCGUUGGAUUAGCUAGUUGGUGAGGUAACGGCCCACCAAGGCGACGAUCCAUAGCCGACCUGUGAGGGUGACCGGCCACAUUGAGAGUGGGACACGGCCCAGACUCCUACGGGAGGCAGCAGUGGGGAACAUUGCACAAUGGGCGAAAGCCUGAUGCAGCGACGCCGCGUGAGCGAAGAAGUAUUUCGGUAUGUAAAGCUCUAUCAGCAGGGAAGAUAAUGACGGUACCUGACUAAGAAGCACCGGCUAAAUACGUG
This 481-nucleotide ribosomal RNA is filed under the name uncultured bacterium. RNAcentral's name for it is "partial 16S ribosomal RNA". It matches the Rfam family "Bacterial small subunit ribosomal RNA", at positions 28 to 507 of the family's 1533-position model. The record is from RNAcentral.